UCCCUGGUGGCUCAGAUGGUAAAGAAUCUGCCUGCAAUGUAGGAGACCUGGGUUUGAUCCCUGGCUUGGGAA
RNAcentral lists this transfer RNA (72 nucleotides) under Bos taurus (domestic cattle). It matches the Rfam family "tRNA". Rfam says of the family: Transfer RNA (tRNA) molecules are approximately 80 nucleotides in length. Lineage: Eukaryota; Metazoa; Chordata; Mammalia; Artiodactyla; Bovidae. The record is from Rfam by way of RNAcentral. RNAcentral also lists the same sequence under 2 other names.